UACAGAGGUCUCAAGCGUUGUUCGGAUUCAUUGGGCGUAAAGCGCACGUAGGCGGCUUUGUAAGUUAGAGGUGAAAGCCCAGGGCUCAACCCUGGAAUUGCCUUUAAGACUGCAUCGCUUGAACAUCGGAGAGGUAAGUGGAAUUCCUAGUGUAGAGGUGAAAUUCGUAGAUAUUAGGAAGAACACCAGUGGCGAAGGCGGCUCACUGGCCCGGUACUGACGCUGAGGCGCGAAAGCGUGGGGAGCAAACAGG
This 253-nucleotide ribosomal RNA is filed under the name uncultured bacterium. RNAcentral describes it as "partial 16S ribosomal RNA". It matches the Rfam family "Bacterial small subunit ribosomal RNA", at positions 524 to 776 of the family's 1533-position model. The record is from RNAcentral.